This 613-nucleotide ribosomal RNA is filed under the name uncultured bacterium. RNAcentral's name for it is "bacterial SSU rRNA". It matches the Rfam family "Bacterial small subunit ribosomal RNA", at positions 34 to 626 of the family's 1533-position model. The record is from RNAcentral.
CGCUGGCGGCAGGCCUAACACAUGCAAGUCGAGCGGAAACGAGUUAUCUGAACCUUCGGGGGACGAUAACGGCGUCGAGCGGCGGACGGGUGAGUAAUGCCUAGGAAAUUGCCCUGGUGUGGGGGAUAACCAUUGGAAACGAUGGCUAAUACCGCAUAAUACCUACGGGUCAAAGAGGGGGACCUUCGGGCCUCUCGCGUCAGGAUAUGCCUAGGUGGGAUUAGCUAGUUGGUGAGGUAAUGGCUCACCAAGGCGACGAUCCCUAGCUGGUCUGAGAGGAUGAUCAGCCACACUGGAACUGAGACACGGUCCAGACUCCUACGGGAGGCAGCAGUGGGGAAUAUUGCACAAUGGGCGCAAGCCUGAUGCAGCCAUGCCGCGUGUGUGAAGAAGGCCUUCGGGUUGUAAAGCACUUUCAGUCGUGAGGAAGGUAGUGUAGUUAAUAGCUGCAUUAUUUGACGUUAGCGACAGAAGAAGCACCGGCUAACUCCGUGCCAGCAGCCGCGGUAAUACGGAGGGUGCGAGCGUUAAUCGGAAUUACUGGGCGUAAAGCGCAUGCAGGUGGUUUGUUAAGUCAGAUGUGAAAGCCCGGGGCUCAACCUCGGAAUAGCAU